Xiphophorus hellerii (green swordtail) is the source of this 654-nucleotide long non-coding RNA. RefSeq lists it as uncharacterized. The record is from RefSeq and is a predicted model, not a curated record. NCBI's taxonomy places the organism in Eukaryota, Metazoa, Chordata, Actinopteri, Cyprinodontiformes, Poeciliidae. The transcript is spliced from 3 exons.
GCUAGGGUGUGCAAGUGAUCACAAGCUAAAUAAUAAUGCUAAAUAAUAAUCUUAUAAUAAUAAAUUAUCUACUCUCUAGGAAUAGAGUGGUUUCGGAGGUUUCUUGCAUGUUGCCAUCUGUCUGUCCAAACUCCAGAGGCAACAUCCCUGGGAAGGGCUACAGCCUUCAAUAAAACUACAGUAGGGGAGUUCUUCGACAAUCUGGCUGUAGUGAUGGACAGGCACACAUUCCCUCCACACGAUUUACAAUGUAGAUUAAACCGGCAUCUUUACAGUUCAAAAGCCACGACAGGUUGUGACAGAGAAAGGAAAAAAGCAAGUUGGUUCUAUCACAUCAUCUGAGAGGGGAGAACUAGUGACUGUGGUGUGUGCAGUGAAUGCUGCUGGGAAUGCCAUACCUCCUAUGUUUGUCUUCCCCAGAGUUAGGUUUAUGGAUGACUUCCUGAUAGGAGCACCUCCAGGAGCCAAAGGUGCCUCCACCAGAACAGGAUGGAUGAAUGAAGACAAGUUCCGAUUAUGGGUCCAUGUUCUGAGACCCAGACUGUGCAUUAGCUGGUUCUGCUUGUACUUUGCUCUUGACACCCAGAUACUAGCUAAAGGUCCUGUGCUAUGAUUCUCACACUGUGAAUGUUAAUUAAAACAUUUUGAAGUAUA